UUUGAUACUGGUAGUNUUGAAUAUUUGUGAAGUUUUUGGAAUGUGUAGUGUAGCGGUGAAAUGCUUAGAUAUUACACAGAACNCCGAUUGCGAAGGCAGGAGACUANCAAAUGAUUGACGCUGAGAGACGAGAGCGUGGGGAGCGAACAGGUUUAGAUACCCUGGUAGUCCACGCUGUAAACGAUGGAUACUAGCUGUUUGGCGUAAGCUGAGUGGCUAAGCGAAAGUGAUAAGUAUCCCACCUGGGGAGUACGCACGCAAGUGUGAAACUCAAAGGAAUUGACGGGGGCCCGCACAAGCGGUGGAGCAUGUGGUUUAAUUCGAUGAUACGCGAGGAACCUUACCAAGGUUUAAAUGGGAACUGACGUACUUAGAGAUAGGUAUUUCUUCGGACAGUUUCCAAGGUGCUGCAUGGUUGUCGUCAGCUCGUGCCGUGAGGUGUCAGGUUAAGUCCUAUAACGAGCGCAACCCCUAUUGUUAGUUACCAGCACGUGAUGGUGGGGACUCUAGCAAGACUGCCGGUGUAAACCGUGAGGAAGGUGGGGAUGACGUCAAAUCAUCACGGCCCUUACAUCUUGGGCUACACACGUGCUACAAUGGUCGUUACAGAGAGCAGCCACUGCGCGAGCAGGAGCGAAUCUAUAAAGACGGUCACAGUUCGGAUCGGAGUCUG
RNAcentral lists this ribosomal RNA (673 nucleotides) under uncultured bacterium. RNAcentral describes it as "bacterial SSU rRNA". It matches the Rfam family "Bacterial small subunit ribosomal RNA", at positions 626 to 1307 of the family's 1533-position model. The record is from RNAcentral.